UGAGUUUGAUCCUGGCUCAGAAUGAACGCUUGCGAUAUGCUUUAUACAUGCGAGUUGAAUGGCUUAAAAAGUCAUAGCGAACGGGUGCGUAACGCAAGAGAAUCUACCACACAGACUUCGAAGAAUCGAAGAUUUAAAAGAUUGUAUCGCUGUGUGAUGAGCUCUUGUAGGAUUAGGUAGUUGGUGAGACAAAAGCUUACCAAGCCUAUGAUCCUUAGCUGGUCUGAGAGGAUGAUCAGCCACACUGGGACUGAGACACGGCCCAGACUCUUUUAGAGGCAGCAGUAGGGAAUAUUGGACAAUGAGCGAAAGCUUGAUCCAGCAAUAUCGCGUGAGUGAUGAAGAUUUUUUAAUCGUAAAACUCUUUCAGUGAAGAUGAUGAUGACCGUAUUCACAAAAGAAGUCCCGGCUAACUCCGUGCCAGCAGCCGCGGUAAUACGGGGGGGGCUAGCGUUAUUCGGAAUGACUGGGCGUAAAGGGCGCGUAGGCGGAAAAUUUUGUACAUAUAGUUUAUAAACACAAACUGUAUUUAUGUCUAUAUAUUACAAAUUUUCUUGAGUAAAGUAGAAGACGGUAGAAUUUUUGGUGUAACAGCAAUAUGUGUGCAUAUCAAAAGGAAUGCCGAUGCGAAAGCAGCCGUCUAGGCUUUUACUGACGCUGAGGCGCGAAAGCGUGGGGAGCAAAUAGGAUUAGGUACCCUAGUAGUCCACGCUGUCAACGAUGAGUGUUAGAUGUUGGAUUUUUAUUCAGUGUCUUAGUUAACACGUUAAACACUCCGCCUGAGGAGUACUGCCGCAAGGUUGAAACUCAAAGGAAUUGACGGGGGCCCGCACAAGCGGUGGAGCAUGUGGUUUAAUUCGACACUACGCGCAAAACCUUACCGAUCUUUGACAUACUAUAUACGUAAUACUCAUUAUGCUGGUUUCUGAGAGACCAUUAAUAGUACAGGCGUUGCAUGGCUGUCGUCAGCUCGUGUCGUGAGAUGUUUGGUUAAGUCCCUUAACGAGCGAAACCCUUUUAGAAUAGUUGUUAACAGGUAAUGCUGAACACUCUUUCUUAACUGCCUACAACAAGUAGGAGGAAGGUAAGGAUGACGUCAAGUCCUCAUGACCCUUAUAGAUCGGGCUACACAUGUGCUACAAUGAAAAUGACAGAGGGAUACAAUGAUGUGAAUCGGAGUUAAACCCCAAACAUUUUCCUAGUACGGAUUGAU
RNAcentral lists this ribosomal RNA (1213 nucleotides) under marine metagenome. RNAcentral describes it as "bacterial SSU rRNA". It matches the Rfam family "Bacterial small subunit ribosomal RNA", at positions 1 to 1302 of the family's 1533-position model. The record is from RNAcentral.